AUGAAACACACGCCGUUUUUCUUUGCAUUCUUUUUUACCUUCCCCUGAACGGGAGGCGUGUCGUCGUGUGAUAAAGAAUGCCAGGACGAACAGCAAGGCCUCCCGAAACGGGGGGCCUUUUUUUU
This 125-nucleotide non-coding RNA is filed under the name uncultured Enterobacter sp. RNAcentral's name for it is "Phenylalanine leader peptide". It matches the Rfam family "Phenylalanine leader peptide". Lineage: Bacteria; Pseudomonadati; Pseudomonadota; Gammaproteobacteria; Enterobacterales; Enterobacteriaceae. The record is from RNAcentral.